CUUUUUUUUUUUUUUUUUGCUUUUUUUUUUCGUUUCAUUUUGCUUUCGCAUGUCCUGCAGGCAAGGCGUACGCUCCGGAGUUUUACUACGACACCUACAACCCGCUGUGGCAGAACCGGCCCCGCGUUUACUCCUACAGCCUCCAGUGGACCCAGAUGAACCCCGACGCCGUGGACCGCAUCCUCGCGUACCGCCUGGGCAUCCGGCAGAGGCGUCCGCUGCCGCUCGCCGGUCCUGGAAACCCACUUGCACGUUUGCAGUGCGGAGCCGGCGCCUCGAGGGACUGCGCAGGAGAAACUUGCAGAGAAAUCUAACUUCUAUCUCUCUAUCUAUAUAUCUUUUAUUAUGUCUUCCACGUAAGUAGAUAAAUAUAGCAAGAAACAUAGCUUUCGUACAGAAACAUGUGAUCCCUGAGAACUGAGAAACCUCCCAUAACCGCGUUAAAGCCCGUCGCGCUUGCAUCAUCGUAGGAUUGGCUUUGGACUUUCAAAGGACAUUCGCUACUGUUAAAAAAGCACGGUACCACGCUGUUUGCAGAGGAACUGUUAAAUUAACAUAGUAGUCAACAUUAAUUUACCGUUCAGCAAUUUUUAAGGAAAAAUGUUAUCU
This 609-nucleotide long non-coding RNA is filed under the name Dromaius novaehollandiae (emu). RNAcentral describes it as "lncRNA (ENSDNVG00000004120.1)". The record is from RNAcentral. Lineage: Eukaryota; Metazoa; Chordata; Aves; Casuariiformes; Dromaiidae.